GAGUUUGAACCUGGCUCAGGAUGAACGCUGGCGGCGUGCCUAAUACAUGCAAGUCGAACGAAACUUCUUUAUCACCGAGUGCUUGCACUCACCGAUAAAGAGUUGAGUGGCGAACGGGUGAGUAACACGUGGGCAACCUGCCCAAAAGAGGGGGAUAACACUUGGAAACAGGUGCUAAUACCGCAUAACCAUAGUUACCGCAUGGUAACUAUGUAAAAGGUGGCUAUGCUACCGCUUUUGGAUGGGCCCGCGGCGCAUUAGCUAGUUGGUGGGGUAAAGGCUUACCAAGGCAAUGAUGCGUAGCCGAACUGAGAGGUUGAUCGGCCACAUUGGGACUGAGACACGGCCCAAACUCCUACGGGAGGCAGCAGUAGGGAAUCUUCCACAAUGGGCGAAAGCCUGAUGGAGCAACGUCGCGUGGGUGAAGAAGGUCUUCGGAUCGUAAAACCCUGUUGUUAGAGAAGAAAGUGCGUGAGAGUAACUGUUC
Molecule: ribosomal RNA, 487 nt
Filed under: uncultured bacterium
Lineage: Bacteria
Description: bacterial SSU rRNA
Rfam family: Bacterial small subunit ribosomal RNA
Source: RNAcentral